RNAcentral lists this ribosomal RNA (492 nucleotides) under uncultured bacterium. Its description in RNAcentral is "partial 16S ribosomal RNA". It matches the Rfam family "Bacterial small subunit ribosomal RNA", at positions 29 to 507 of the family's 1533-position model. The record is from RNAcentral.
AUUGAACGCUGGCGGCAUGCUUUACACAUGCAAGUCGAACGGUAACAGGCCUUCGGGUGCUGACGAGUGGCGAACGGGUGAGUAAUGCAUCGGAACGUACCCAGAGGUGGGGGAUAACGCAGCGAAAGCUGUGCUAAUACCGCAUGUGAUCUGAGGAUGAAAGCGGGGGACCGAGCAGCAAUGUUUGGCCUCGCGCCUUUGGAGCGGCCGAUGUCGGAUUAGCUAGUUGGUGGGGUAAAGGCCUACCAAGGCGACGAUCCGUAGCUGGUCUGAGAGGACGACCAGCCACACUGGGACUGAGACACGGCCCAGACUCCUACGGGAGGCAGCAGUGGGGAAUUUUGGACAAUGGGCGCAAGCCUGAUCCAGCAAUGCCGCGUGCGGGAAGAAGGCCUUCGGGUUGUAAACCGCUUUUGGCAGGAACGAAACGGUGUCCGCUAAUACCGGGCGCUAAUGACGGUACCUGCAGAAUAAGCACAGGCUAACUACGUG